AGACAAUUUCAGUAUAAGUAGAGUGUUUAGCAAAUUGAAUUAUUUUUUCAGAGACUGUAGCCUGACUCUGGCGCUUAAAUCCAGGUCCCAACUAAAAAUUCAAAAGAAUACAUUUCAAGUUUUUUCCCGUGCAGGCCUGACCAGGCAGCCUUACUUUCGUCCAGCCAUCAAUUUAUUAAUUUCGAGUGAAAUUUUUUUAUAACCACCGGCUGGGCCCUAUCCUGGGCCCCGAAGGAGGGGCAUUAGCCUGUUGCAUAUAAUUAGAGGCGUCGAGGGGAAAUUGGUGCUCUGGGCCUGCACUCAGAUUUUUUCCGGCCCGCAGUCCUCGUGGUCGUUGGGCCUUGGGGCGUUCACGUUGCCUGUGACACAAAUUACCCCAAUCGGCGAAAGCUAAUCAAAGCAGAACAUGUCCCGGCAAAUUGCUCAGCGAGCAAUAAAUGAAGAAAAGGGAAUAGAAUCGCAUGCAAAUGCAAUCGGAAUCGAAAACAAAAUCGCUGGCAACUCGAAGAACAGGCAAAGUUCACGGGUAGGGCGAAAAUAUUGUCUAUUAAUUGAUUGUUUGUUCUACUGCACGGUGCGCAUUAUUAGAUACAAUUUAUUGUGCAGCUAUGUGGAAUGGCAGGCGCUGCCUUGGAUUAUUGUUUAUUUUAUGACACGUGCCACAGCUCCUCGCCCACUCCCAUCCACGGCCUCAAGCCCUCAAGCCCCAUGUUCUUCAAAGGAAGCUCACGCCAGGCCCCUGACACACGCUAAGGCCUAAGCCUUUUGCUAAUAAUGCCAAUAACUUGGACCCCACGGAGAGACAUCCCAAGUUUGACCAUCAGUCUAGUUACAAGCACAGAUAAUAAUUCAAGACUGGUUCGAACCAAAAGUUCCCUGUAAAAGACAUACCAAAGCCGUAGUAUCUUGCUCGAAAAAGGAUUGUAGAACUGAGCUUGAGCAUUGAGAUACCUGGAGCCUAAUAUAACACGGAUAUUUGUAUUUUACCCUUAUGACAGUACAUAACCACCACAUUAAAUGUGUACAACAAU
This is an RNA transcript of Drosophila biarmipes, 1031 nucleotides long. RefSeq lists it as uncharacterized. The transcript has 3 exons. NCBI's taxonomy places the organism in Eukaryota, Metazoa, Arthropoda, Insecta, Diptera, Drosophilidae. The record is from RefSeq and is a predicted model, not a curated record.